CGGGCCGUCCGACCCGUCGCUGUCGCCCGGGGGAUUCCUCUGGGCGGUAGAGCAAAGUCCGGACUCGUAGCAGAGGCCGCUCGGGCCAACAACCCGAGGGGCGGUGACGGCGAAAGCCGUGCAGGCGCAAGCCCGCCGCCACGUCAAGUGCAACAGAGAGCAGACCAGCCGAUGGACCGUAGGGACGUUUCGCGAAACGUCCCUACGUCACAGGUGAUGGGUGAAAGGGUGGGGUAAGAGCCCACCGGCGGUAUCCCGAGAGGGACCGGCCAGGUAAACCACCGGUGCGAGCAAGCCAGAAUGUCCCGGUCGCCGCGAGGCGUCGCGGGCUGGUAGGCGCAGCCCUCCACAGGGAGGGCUCCGUAGGGACGUUUCGCGAAACGUCCCUACGGAAGAUGGAUGGCGGGAUAGAGCAGAAUCCGGCUUACGGGACGGCCCGGGCG
RNAcentral lists this RNase P RNA (443 nucleotides) under Rubrobacter sp. RNAcentral's name for it is "RNase P RNA component class A". It matches the Rfam family "Bacterial RNase P class A". Rfam says of the family: Ribonuclease P (RNase P) is a ubiquitous endoribonuclease, found in archaea, bacteria and eukarya as well as chloroplasts and mitochondria. Its best characterised activity is the generation of mature 5'-ends of tRNAs by cleaving the 5'-leader elements of precursor-tRNAs. Lineage: Bacteria; Bacillati; Actinomycetota; Rubrobacteria; Rubrobacterales; Rubrobacteraceae. The record is from RNAcentral.